This 325-nucleotide ribosomal RNA is filed under the name uncultured eukaryote. RNAcentral's name for it is "partial 18S ribosomal RNA". It matches the Rfam family "Eukaryotic small subunit ribosomal RNA", at positions 1470 to 1796 of the family's 1831-position model. The record is from RNAcentral.
CCCUUAGAUGUCCUGGGCCGCACGCGCGCUACACUGACACCUGCAACGAGUGUACAACCUUGCUCGAGAGGGCCGGGUAAUCUUUGGAACGGGUGUCGUGAUAGGGAUAGAUGAUUGCAAUUAUUCAUCUUGAACGAGGAAUGCCUUGUAGACGCGAAUCAUCAGUUCGCAUCGAAUACGUCCCUGCCCUUUGUACACACCGCCCGUCGCACCUACCGAUCGAAAAUUUCGAUGAAGAUUCGGGACAGAACCAACUCCGUUCAUUCGGGGAUGGCCCUGGAACUUAUCUAAAUCUCAAUUUUUAGAGGAAGGUGAAGUCGUAACA